AUGUUACUGCUCCAGGACCUCCUCAAGUACCUCCGAUCUCCCCGCUCCCAGCACCGGGGACAUCCACUGCUGCUUUCCACAAUUGCCGUUUUCUUUCUGAUUAACUCCGAAGUGAGAAACAAGAGGGUUUAUGGCUUUGCUGGUCACCGUUUCAAUAACGAUGAUGGACGAUCUUCUGUUCUAUAUAUCAUGUAAAAGAAUUCAGCUUAAAAGUCUACUUGUGUUCACAGCUUGCCUCCUGUCACCUCCCCAAACUCUCCCCUGCUCCACAGGCAUGCACAGUUACAGAGAUUUGGGAUGGUUCAUAUUUGAGAACACCGGCUAAGGAGAGAAUGAUGGUGGCUUAUUUGGACCGAGCCUGCCCUUGCCGUGAAAUGAGGAAAACUGUCAUAUUUAUGAGUCACA
RNAcentral lists this long non-coding RNA (405 nucleotides) under Ornithorhynchus anatinus (platypus). RNAcentral describes it as "lncRNA (ENSOANG00000036541.1)". The record is from RNAcentral. Lineage: Eukaryota; Metazoa; Chordata; Mammalia; Monotremata; Ornithorhynchidae.